This 694-nucleotide ribosomal RNA is filed under the name uncultured Verrucomicrobiota bacterium. Its description in RNAcentral is "uncultured Verrucomicrobia bacterium partial 16S ribosomal RNA". It matches the Rfam family "Bacterial small subunit ribosomal RNA", at positions 8 to 683 of the family's 1533-position model. Lineage: Bacteria; Pseudomonadati; Verrucomicrobiota. The record is from RNAcentral.
AGAGUUUGAUCCUGGCUCAGAACGAACGCUGGCGGGAGGGGAAGCAUGCAAGUCGAACGGGGCAUUCUUUGUAGCAAUAAAAAGGAUGUUCAGUGGCGUAAGGGUGCGUAACACGUGGGCAACCUGCCCGAGAGUUGGGGAUAGCCCGCCGAAAGGCGGAUUAAUACCGAAUGUGGCGAAGGGUGACAUCACUCUGUAGCUAAAGCCGGGGCAACCUGGCGCUCUUGGAUGGGCCCGCGGCCUAUCAGCUAGUUGGUGAGGUAACGGCUCACCAAGGCUAUGACGGGUAGCUGGUCUGAGAGGACGACCAGCCACACUGGAACUGAGACACGGUCCAGACACCUACGGGUGGCAGCAGUCGAGAAUUUUUCUCAAUGUUUUUUUUUUCUGAAGGAGCGACGCCGCGUGGGGGAUGAAUGGCUUCGGCCCGCCCCCCCCUGUCAUUUGCGAACAAACCUAUUCAGAUAACACCUGAAGAGCUGAUUGUAGCGAAGGAGGAAGGGACGGCUAACUCUGUGCCAGCAGCCGCGGUAAUACAGAGGUCCCGAGCGUUGUUCGGAUUCACUGGGCGUAAAGGGUGCGUAGGUGGUUGGGUAAGUUUGAUGUGAAAGCUCUGGGCUCAACCCAGAAAUGGCAUUGAAUACUAUCCAACUAGAGGAGUGGAGGGGGGACUGGAAUACUUGGUGUAGCAGUG